CCUACGGGAGACAGCAGUGGGGAAUAUUGCACAAUGGGGGAAACCCUGAUGCAGCGACGCCGCGUGAGUGAAGAAGUAUUUCGGUAUGUAAAGCUCUAUCAGCAGGGAAGAAAAUGACGGUACCUGAUUAAGAAGCCCCGGCUAACUACGUGCCAGCAGCCGCGGUAAUACGUAGGGGGCAAGCGUUAUCCGGAUUUACUGGGUGUAAAGGGAGCGUAGACGGCAGCACAAGUCUGGAGUGAAAUGCCGGGGCUUAACCCCGGAACUGCUUUGGAAAUUGUGCAGCUAGAGUACAGGAGAGGUAAGUGGAAUUCCUAGUGGAGCGGGGAAAGGCGUAGAUAUUAGGAGGAACACCAGUGGCGAAGGCGGCUUACUGGACUGUAACUGACGUGGAGGCUCGAAAGCGGGGGGAGCAAACAGGAUUAGAUACCCGAGUAGUC
Molecule: ribosomal RNA, 440 nt
Filed under: uncultured bacterium
Lineage: Bacteria
Description: partial 16S ribosomal RNA
Rfam family: Bacterial small subunit ribosomal RNA
Source: RNAcentral